UACGUAGGGGGCGAGCGUUGUCCGGAAUCACUGGGCGUAAAGGGCGCGUAGGCGGCCGGCUGAGUCCGCUGUGAAAGCCCGGGGCUCAACCCCGGAGGGACAGCGGAGACUGGCGGGCUCGAGCGUUGGAGGGGAGCAGGGAAUCCCUGGUGUAGCGGUGGAAUGCGUAGAGAUCAGGGGGAACACCGAUGGCGAAGGCACUGCUCUGGCCGAAGGCUGACGCUGAGGCGCGAAAGCUGGGGGAGCGAACGGG
Molecule: ribosomal RNA, 253 nt
Filed under: uncultured bacterium
Lineage: Bacteria
Description: partial 16S ribosomal RNA
Rfam family: Bacterial small subunit ribosomal RNA
Source: RNAcentral